This is a long non-coding RNA of Cannabis sativa, 533 nucleotides long. RefSeq lists it as uncharacterized. The record is from RefSeq and is a predicted model, not a curated record. NCBI's taxonomy places the organism in Eukaryota, Viridiplantae, Streptophyta, Magnoliopsida, Rosales, Cannabaceae. The transcript is spliced from 3 exons.
GACAAUUUGAAUUGGGCUUUUACUUUUCUCACAUAUAUAUUUAUAUAUAUUAUCUAACCCUAACCCUAAAAACAUAACACAACAUAAAUACAUUCCCCUCAUCACCAUCCGCCUCCUACUUUCUCUUUCUCUCAACUCACUGCCCUCUCUCUCUCUCUCUCUCUCUCUCUCUCUCUCUCUCUCUCUCUCUCUCUCUCUCUCAGAGAAUGUUUGGAUCCGCCUCCUUCUCCGAUGCACGCACACGGCACAGAUAAGAGUCCACUCUCCUCCCAUUCCGUUCUCGCCGGAGUGUUUAAGCAAGGGUUGUCGCACACCACGCUACUUCGGCUCUCACUUUUCAUUGUCAGGUAACACACCAAAGGUCAAAGCAUCACCAAAGGAGAAGAUUAUUGACAUUAUUAAUUGAUGUAUUUUUCAAGUUGAUCAUAUUUUGGACAAUUUAAUUAACUUUAGUCCUUAUUUUGAUUUGGAUGACUGUAAUAAUUGAUUUUUAACCUUUGAACUUUUGAUGAACUAUUGAAUUUUACAUUUAA